GGCCAGGAAUUAGAAUGACCACAUACAGGGAUCUUAGCCCAGAAGUAACCAAGACAGAGGGGCGCCUGGAAGUGACAAAGCGUGUAAAAGGGCACUCAAAUACAACACACAUGAAACCUAAGCAGUUGUAGUGCCAGUUAUCAGAUAUGAAUGUCCAUCUCUGCAUCUGCCUCUCAGAGUUCAUGAAGGGCCACAAAAAAGCUCGGAAAACAAAGAUCAACAUAGACCAACACACUGAAUCAUCAACCCACCAUGAGUCUUCUUUUGACAGUAGAUAGGUGCUCAUUUGUCCACCGAAGUCUGCCUUGCCAACCCAAUCAGUGAUACAAGUGGCAUUCACUACAAUCAGCUGAAGAAACCCUACAGGUUAAGGAGCUUCUUAACUAGACAACAAACAUAUGCUGGAGCUGAUGCCGAACUGUUCAUUCUCCUUUCAUUAAGAAGGGUAGGGAAUCCUUAGACACACCAAUAGUGCUCAGAUAAUUGGUGAUAUGACCUCUGGAAAAGUUCUGGAAUUUAAUGGGCUUACAAGGUUUUACAGAGCAGAAGCACUGAUGAUGGUUCACUUAUCAACUAAGAGAGUGUCCAAACAACUAAAUAACUGGGCAUUAUCAUGCCUACUUCUGGAUGAAUACUAAUCAUCAGAACAAUCCUGAUAAUGCUGUCAUUGUGAAAGUGCUAAUCCCAUUUUGCAGAUGAAUAAACUAAGGGAGAAAGUUUAAGUGACAACAGUAAGUCAACAUCAGAGCUAGGAUUAAAAGAAUGGUAUAUUUUAGCAAAGUUAACAGAAUUAACACACACCAGUAAGGACCACAGCUGGCUACCAUUUCCUCAGUUUCUCUUCUACUAGUAAUGCUCCAGAUACUAUUGGCUUUCCAAGGAUCACAGGGAUCCCACUCCACCAACAAACAUCCAGGUAUUGUUGCUCACCAACUGACUGCAAAUUACUUGUCCCACAUACUGCUUGUGAUUUCAUGUCAUCCAGAAGCCAGCCUUGGUCUGUACCUCAUUGCACACAAUACUCAAGGCAUCUUGAACAGACCAUUGCUUCUCUUUGAUGGACUACAGACAUCCUUUUCUCACCAACUUGUCAGCAAGCUACUCAGAAUCUACUCUUUCAAGCUUCUCAUUUUCAAUUAUACAACUACAAUUAAAUUAGGUGAACGCUAAUCAACAUAUUCAAACAAUUACACAUGCCAUGUAAGUUGACAGCUGGCAACUAUGCUACCUCAUGUUUUAUUGAUUGCAAUGUAGGGAUACUGGCUCCUCAGCUUGUAAUCAAAUAUUGCCUCAACAAUUCACAUCACAUGAUAACAACUUGAUCAGAACUAAGAAGGUUUCUUACAUAUCACUGCAUUUGUUAAGCUGUAUGUUUUGUCUCCUCUAACAUGUUGUUCUGGGGACAGAGGAAUAGAAGGAAAUACU
Long non-coding RNA from Pezoporus occidentalis (night parrot), 1425 nucleotides. RefSeq lists it as uncharacterized. Lineage: Eukaryota; Metazoa; Chordata; Aves; Psittaciformes; Psittacidae. The record is from RefSeq and is a predicted model, not a curated record. The transcript has 5 exons.